UACGUAGGUGGCGAGCGUUGUCCGGAUUUACUGGGCGUAAAGGGAGCGUAGGCGGAUUUUUAAGUGAGAUGUGAAAUACCCAGGCUUAACUUGGGUGCUGCAUUUCAAACUGGAAGUCUAGAGUGCAGGAGAGGAGAAGGGAAUUCCUAGUGUAGCGGUGAAAUGCGUAGAGAUUAGGAAGAAUACCAGUGGCGAAGGCGAUUCUCUGGACUGUAACUGACGCUGAGGCUCGAAAGCGUGGGGAGCAAACAGGAUUAGAUACCCCCGUAGU
This 271-nucleotide ribosomal RNA is filed under the name uncultured prokaryote. RNAcentral's name for it is "partial 16S ribosomal RNA". It matches the Rfam family "Bacterial small subunit ribosomal RNA", at positions 524 to 794 of the family's 1533-position model. The record is from RNAcentral.